RNAcentral lists this ribosomal RNA (278 nucleotides) under uncultured bacterium. Its description in RNAcentral is "partial 16S ribosomal RNA". It matches the Rfam family "Bacterial small subunit ribosomal RNA", at positions 29 to 334 of the family's 1533-position model. The record is from RNAcentral.
AACGAACGCUGGCGGCAGGCCUAACACAUGCAAGUCGAACGAACCCUUCGGGGUGAGUGGCGCACGGGUGCGUAACACGUGGGAAUAUACCCUUCAGUACGGAACAACACAGAGAAAUUUGUGCUAAUACCGUAUAAUGACUCCGGUCCAAAGAUUUAUCGCUGAAGGAUUAGCCCGCGUCUGAUUAGAUAGUUGGUGAGGCAAGAGCUCACCAAGUCGACGAUCAGUAGCUGGUUUGAGAGGAUGAUCAGCCACACUGGAACUGAGACACGGUCCAG